RNAcentral lists this ribosomal RNA (682 nucleotides) under Rhodonia placenta. Its description in RNAcentral is "eukaryotic LSU rRNA". The stretch from base 234 to 387 matches the Rfam family "5.8S ribosomal RNA". The record is from RNAcentral. Lineage: Eukaryota; Fungi; Basidiomycota; Agaricomycetes; Polyporales; Adustoporiaceae.
AUAGACGGCGUCUCGACGGUGAAGCUGCGGAAGGACAUAAUGAAUCCGAGAGGGGUUGUAGCUGGCCUCUAGGAGGCAUGUGCACACCCUGCUCUACACACUUACACCUGUGCACACUCUGUAGGUCGGUUUGAGCGGCUCUCUCUCACGGGGGAUGCUGUUUGGCCUUCCUAUGUUUUAUAACAAACUCUGUAAUGUCAUAGAAUGUCAUCGCGUAUAACGCAUUAUAAUACAACUUUCAGCAACGGAUCUCUUGGCUCUCGCAUCGAUGAAGAACGCAGCGAAAUGCGAUAAGUAAUGUGAAUUGCAGAAUUCAGUGAAUCAUCGAAUCUUUGAACGCACCUUGCGCUCCUUGGUAUUCCGAGGAGCAUGCCUGUUUGAGUGUCAUGGAAUUCUCAACCCCUCUUAUCCUUGUGGUGAGAUUGGGUUGGAUUUGGAGGCUUAUGCUGGCUUGUAACGAGUCGGCUCCUCUUGAAUGCAUUAGCUUGGACCUUUGUGGACCAGCUUUUCGGUGUGAUAAUUGUCUACGCCGUGGGCUGCGAUGCUGUUUAACAUGCUUCGGCGUGUUGGGGUUCUGCUUCUAAUGGUCCCUUUAGUGGGACAACUUACUUUGACUUCUGACCUCAAAUCAGGUAGGAUUACCCGCUGAACUUAAGCAUACGAUAACCGCGAGAGAGAAAAA